Molecule: ribosomal RNA, 253 nt
Filed under: uncultured bacterium
Lineage: Bacteria
Description: partial 16S ribosomal RNA
Rfam family: Bacterial small subunit ribosomal RNA
Source: RNAcentral
UACAGAGGGGGCAAGCGUUGUUCGGAAUUACUGGGCGUAAAGGGCGCGUAGGCGGCCCGCUAAGUCGAACGUGAAAUCUCCGAGCCUAACUCGGAAACUGCAUCGGAAACUAUCCGGCUCGAGGGUUGGAGGGGGGACUGGAAUACUUGGUGUAGCAGUGAAAUGCGUAGAUAUCAAGUGGAACACCAGUGGCGAAGGCGAGUCCCUGGACAACUCCUGACACUGAGGCACGAAAGCUAGGGGAGCAAACAGG